This 3179-nucleotide long non-coding RNA is filed under the name Arachis ipaensis. RNAcentral describes it as "long non-coding RNA (AIPA_LNC001581)". The record is from RNAcentral. Lineage: Eukaryota; Viridiplantae; Streptophyta; Magnoliopsida; Fabales; Fabaceae.
ACAGAUUUCAUGAUUUUUUAAGCAAAUAUGACGAAAUUUUAAUCAAAUUUAUAAUAACACAUAUUAAGUAUAUACUUAGUCAAAUCAUGACAACAGGAAGAUAAUAGAUCAACCAACCAAAGAUAAAGAACAGGCACAAAAAAACAUAAUUGAGCCCAAAAGAUUAUAAAGCUAAUACCAUUUCUUGUCCUGCCAGACAUAUGCAUAUAACUGGUAAGCUUUAAAAAUUUUGAGACAUGGAAAUAUGAAAUUCAGAAUUCUAAAAUACAAUAGAUGAUGACUACAAAUUAAUUUAAUAUAAAAGAUGGAUGCCUAUAUCCUAUAAAUCUUCCUAAAUAUCAAGUCCCUUGAAUUUUGAUUCCAGUUCAUUGGGGUCAGCAUUUUCUUAGGAAUCCUCAUCAAUGUCUUCUCCUUCAAGAUCUCAUCCAAAGUACAUAUCCAACAUAUCAGGUGAAUUUUUAAAUAUAUCCUUCAAGUUCUCUAAGUUUUUGUACAACAACUUCAAGUGCCAUGACUCUCUUCCAGUGCUUUGCUGAUCAAAAUUGUAGCUUCAUCUUUCAUUCAUUCUCAAAUCCUUACAUUUGACAAACUUGGAGUUUACUUUGAAAGUACUAAAACUUAUUUUGGUGCAAUGAUACUCGUUUUGAAUAUAAAUAAAUAUAGAUCAAAAGCACAAAGAACAUGGUUUACUCCAAUAAUCAAUAUCACCAAGUUGUUUUCCUAUGGCCACAGAGAAAAGCUUUAAAUUAAAAAAAAAUAAAAAAAAUUUAUCCAUCUCAUGACAAAGAUAAUGAGAGGAGCAAAACAGUACAUUUAUUGUUUGUAUCAAAAAAAUAAAAAUAAUAAAAGAGUAAUAUUUUAGCAAUCGUAUUACAAUACCAACAAAAGAAAAAAAAUAGUCAAUAAUGUAUAAGAAUCAAGUGAGAGAAUAUACCACACCAACUUAAAAAGCUUAACGCACUAAAUAGAUAAAUUUCUCAUUUCAUAAACUCUCACACAUUAUUUCAUUUAAUAUAAGACUAACUAUCAUUCACACUUGUUACUUAUCAAUACUUACCCAACAGAAAAGCAACUUGUUUUUAUUGUCUCCUAUCAAAUGAUCAAAAAUUCUUUCAACAUGUUAUUACAAACAGAAAACCAAAACUGAUUGUUGAAAUAUAUUUUAAAACAAAAUGGAAGAAUACUACAAACUAAAUCAAGAAAGUCAUAAUUAUUUGUUGAAAAGAUAGUUGAAGAGUACCUUUUUCCGAUAAAGGUUUGAUGCAAAUGUUUCGUGAGUCAAUUUAGAAAACAUAUUGCAAGCAAACAAUUAUUGAAGGAUAUAAUGCAUGACACAGAUAUGUAAAUCUCGCACCUUGUAAGCUCUAAAUAAGAUGGCUAUUUCUUGCCAUUGCAACUAUGAAACUCCAGAACAAUAAACAAUGUAAAUAAUAAAUAAUUAACCCAGAGAGAAAGUGAAUGAAGAAACUCCUUCAUACCAAGCUUCAUCAGUCACCAAACCCAACAGCAGCAUAGGUUACAAUUUAACCAAGCCAGUUAAUACCCCUUUUUUCAAUUUCAAAACAGCGACCUCAUGGUGCAACCUUUGGGACAACACCCUGACCUUCUUGCACGACACAAAAAAAAAGCAUUAGACAUCACAUGUAAUCACCAAUAACAACAACAUAAUACUGUGAUAACAACAUAUAAAACUAAAGCAGCAGAACUUCAAAUUGCAAAAACACCUAAUGAAAACAACCCAAAGCAUAUGAAAGCAAGGCAGCAAAACAAAUCCCCUUGCAUAAUUUAAUGUCAUCAUUCAAUUUGGUUGACUGAAAUAAUAAAGCAAUAUAAGAAAAUUAAAAUGUUAAUCAAUUGAGCAAUAUUUAGAUAUCGAUAGCUAAAAUUGAAGUAUAAGAGAAACUAACAAACGAUUCUACAUUGAUGUAUAAAUUGAGCAAGAUAUUCACCUUUGCCAGUUCAAAAUCAGCAAGGUUGACAAAUCCGUGUGCAUCCACCAAUAUAUUUGAACAUUUAAUAUCCCUUUAGAUUAGGAAAUUUCAAAGUAUGAAUGUAAAACUCAAAGUGAGAUCAACCUUGCUUCUAUAUUAAAAGGAAAAAUGGACAAUUUCUAUGUAACCCCUACAAUAAUGAAGAAACUUAAAAUAAUAAAAAUAAGUAACUUGCUUCUACAUACAAAGAAAAAUGAUGCGGAGAAGAAGUGACCAGCGCCUAAUGAUUAGACAUAUCGACAAUAAAGAAGAUGAGUUCCCUGCAUCUACAUACAAAGAAAAAUUAUGGCCAGUUUCUAUUGUAGCCCUGCAAAAUUACCAAGAAGUGACCAGCAUCAGUGAUAGAAAAUGUAAAUGAGAAAGUAGUACGAAGGAAAAUGUAUAUAAUAUUUUAUUUAAGAAAAAUAUUAUCUACAAAAUUAUAAGAAAAAGUCAAGUUUCUUAUGUAUAUUUGAUAGGGGAUGAAACAUGUCUGUCUAUAUACUUCAAUCACAAUUUCAAAAGGAGAGGGCAUACCUUAAACUUCGCAGCUCUAAAGGAACCUUCACAUGAAUAGAAAAAAAAACCCAAAAAAAUUGGAUCCUUUCUGAAACACAAAAUAGAGAAAACCCAUCAUAGAAAAAAGGAAAAAAUCAGAAUCACUUGUAACAAUUCAGGCGCAAUCGAAGACAGAAAGUUUUCACAUUUCAAUCGAAAAAGAUAAAAAAACAAAACAAUAAACUUUUGGUUUACGAAGAAUCAAAGAGCAAUUAAAGUCACCGUUUUGAACGGAAUGGAGGAAUGAGAAAAGCUGGGAGAAUGCUUGUGAUGUUUUUGUUGUAUCCGAAAAAGAAAGAAUUUUUGGAGAAGGAGGUAUUGUUCUGUUACAAAGAAAUCAGAAUGGAUAGAAAGAGACAUGGCAUGGACCUCAGAGAUGGCAGAAGAGAGGGAACGAUGUGGAGAAGCAGCAAAAAAGGAGGUAUUGUUCUGUGUUACAAAGAAAAUGGACCUCAGAGAUGGCAGAAGAGAGGGAACGAUGUGGAGAAGCAGCAAAAAACAAAGAGAUUUACGUCCGUGGAACAGAGAGAGGUGAAGGCGAAGACAAAGGGGAGCACGCCAAAGUCAACAAAGAGAGGCACCGUGCAAAGGCGGAAGAAGACUUUGAGGAGUAAUGUUUGAAUGGUCAAUAGUCAAUAGGAUGAAUUGGAU